GCCACCGUAGCUCAGUUGGUAGAGCAAGUGAUUCGUAAUCACUAGGUCACCCGUUCGAAUCGGGUCGGUGGCU
This 73-nucleotide transfer RNA is filed under the name Candidatus Zixiibacteriota bacterium. RNAcentral's name for it is "tRNA-Thr". It matches the Rfam family "tRNA". From Rfam's summary of the family: Transfer RNA (tRNA) molecules are approximately 80 nucleotides in length. Their secondary structure includes four short double-helical elements and three loops (D, anti-codon, and T loops). The record is from RNAcentral. Lineage: Bacteria; Pseudomonadati; Candidatus Zixiibacteriota.